Molecule: unclassified non-coding RNA, 332 nt
Filed under: soil metagenome
Description: partial contains 5.8S ribosomal RNA, internal transcribed spacer 2, and large subunit ribosomal RNA
Rfam family: 5.8S ribosomal RNA (bases 1-120)
Source: RNAcentral
GAUGAAGAACGUAGCGAAAUGCGAUAAGUAGUGUGAAUUGCAGAAUUCAGUGAAUCAUCGAAUCUUUGAACGCACAUUGCGCCCUUUGGUAUUCCUUAGGGCAUGCCUGUUCGAGCGUCAUUUAAACCUUCAAGCUAAGCUUGGUGUUGGGCGACUGUCCGCUUCACGGCGGACUCGCCUCAAAAUUAUUGGCGGCCGGUACAUUGGCUUCGAGCGCAGCAGAAACGCGAACUCGGGCGCGUCGUAUUGGCUCCCAGAAGCUAUCUUCACAAUUUUGACCUCGGAUCAGGUAGGGAUACCCGCUGAACUUAAGCAUAUCAAUAAGCGGAGGA